Molecule: ribosomal RNA, 245 nt
Filed under: uncultured Anaerolineaceae bacterium
Lineage: Bacteria; Bacillati; Chloroflexota; Anaerolineae; Anaerolineales; Anaerolineaceae
Description: partial 16S ribosomal RNA
Rfam family: Bacterial small subunit ribosomal RNA
Source: RNAcentral
AACGUAGGAGGCGAGCGUUAUCCGGAUUUACUGGGUGUAAAGCGCGUGCAGGCGGUCGUGUAAGUGGUGCGUGAAAGCUCCCGGCUCAACCGGGAGAGGACGUGCCAAACUGCAGGGCUAGAGGCAGGUAGAGGCGUGUGGAAUUCCGGGUGUAGUGGUGAAAUGCGUAGAGAUCCGGAGGAACACCAGUGGCGAAGGCGACACGCUGGGCCUGGCCUGACGCUCAGACGCGAAAGCAUGGGGAG